Molecule: ribosomal RNA, 482 nt
Filed under: uncultured bacterium
Lineage: Bacteria
Description: bacterial SSU rRNA
Rfam family: Bacterial small subunit ribosomal RNA
Source: RNAcentral
UUGAACGCUGGCGGCAUGCUUUACACAUGCAAGUCGAACGGCAGCGGGGGCUUCGGCCUGCCGGCGAGUGGCGAACGGGUGAGUAAUGCAUCGGAACGUACCCAGUCGUGGGGGAUAACUACGCGAAAGCGUGGCUAAUACCGCAUACGCCCUGAGAGGGAAAGCGGGGGACCUUCGGGCCUCGCGCGAUUGGAGCGGCUGAUGUCGGAUUAGCUAGUUGGUGGGGUAAAGGCCCACCAAGGCGACGAUCUGUAGCUGGUCUGAGAGGACGACCAGCCACACUGGAACUGAGACACGGUCCAGACUCCUACGGGAGGCAGCAGUGGGGAAUUUUGGACAAUGGGCGCAAGCCUGAUCCAGCCAUACCGCGUGAGUGAAGAAGGCCUUCGGGUUGUAAAGCUCUUUCAGCCGGAAAGAAAUCGUGCAGAUUAACACUCUGUAUGGAUGACGGUACCGGAAGAAGAAGCACCGGCUAACUACGU